AUUGAACGAAGGCGGAAUGCUUGACACAAGCAAGUCGAACGGCAGCACGGGAGCUUGAUAAAAAGUGGCGAGUGGCGAACGGGUGAGUAAUGUGUCGGAACGUACCGAGUAAUGGGGGAUAACGCGGCGAAAGUCGCGUUAAUACCUCAUACGCCCUGAGGGGGAAAGUGGGGGAUCGCAAGACCUCACGUUAUUCGAGCGGCCGACGUCUGAUUAGCUUGUUGGUGAGGUAAUGGCUCACCAAGGCGACGAUCAGUAGCGGGUCUGAGAGGAUGAUCCGUCACACUGGAACUGAGACACGGUCCAGACUCCUACGGGAGGCAGCAGUGGGGAAUUUUGGACAAUGGGGGCAACCCUGUUCCAGGCAUUCCGCGUGAGUGAAGAAGGCCUUCGGGGGAU
RNAcentral lists this ribosomal RNA (399 nucleotides) under uncultured bacterium. Its description in RNAcentral is "bacterial SSU rRNA". It matches the Rfam family "Bacterial small subunit ribosomal RNA", at positions 30 to 426 of the family's 1533-position model. The record is from RNAcentral.